UACGGGGGGAGCAAGCGUUGUUCGGAUUUACUGGGCGUAAAGGGCGCGUAGGCGGUCAGCACAAGUCAGUUGUGAAAUCUCCGGGCUCAACUCGGAAAGGUCAACUGAUACUGUGCGACUAGAGUGCAGAAGGGGCAACUGGAAUUCUCGGUGUAGCGGUGAAAUGCGUAGAUAUCGAGAGGAACACCUGCGGCGAAGGCGGGUUGCUGGGCUGACACUGACGCUGAGGCGCGAAAGCCAGGGGAGCGAACGGG
This 254-nucleotide ribosomal RNA is filed under the name uncultured bacterium. RNAcentral's name for it is "partial 16S ribosomal RNA". It matches the Rfam family "Bacterial small subunit ribosomal RNA", at positions 524 to 776 of the family's 1533-position model. The record is from RNAcentral.